This 925-nucleotide ribosomal RNA is filed under the name uncultured bacterium. RNAcentral's name for it is "bacterial SSU rRNA". It matches the Rfam family "Bacterial small subunit ribosomal RNA", at positions 1 to 958 of the family's 1533-position model. The record is from RNAcentral.
CCCUUAAGUUUGAUCCUGGCUCAGGAUGAACGCUAGCGGCAGGCUUAACACAUGCAAGUCGAGGGGUAGUAUAGCAAUAUAUGAGACCGGCGCACGGGUGCGUAACGCGUAUGCAACCUACCUUUCACAGAGGGAUAGCCCAAAGAAAUUUGGAUUAAUACCUCAUAGUAUAGUGACAUCGCAUGAUGAUGCUAUUAAAGUUCCAACGGUGAAAGAUGGGCAUGCGUCCCAUUAGCUAGAUGGUAAGGUAACGGCUUACCAUGGCAACGAUGGGUAGGGGUCCUGAGAGGGAGAUCCCCCACACUGGUACUGAGACACGGACCACACUCCUACGGGAGGCAGCAGUGAGGAAUAUUGGACAAUGGGCGCAAGCCUGAUCCAGCCAUGCCGCGUGCAGGAUGAAGCAUCUAUGGUGUGUAAACUGCUUUUGUACAAAAAGAAACACUCCGACGUGUCGGAGCUUGACGGUAUCGUAAGAAUAAGGAUCGGCUAACUCCGUGCCAGCAGCCGCGGUAAUACGGAGGAUCCAAGCGUUAUCCGGAAUCAUUGGGUUUAAAGGGUCCGUAGGCGGGCCAGUAAGUCAGUGGUGAAAUCUCCCGGCUCAACCGGGAAAUGGCCAUUGAUACUGCUGGUCUUGAAUUAAUUAGGAAGUAACUAGAAUAUGUAGUUGUAGCGGUGAAAUGCUUAGAGAUUACAUGGAAUACCAAUUUGCGAAGGCAGGUUACUACUAAUGGAUUGACGCUGAUGGACGAAGCGUGGUAGCGAACAGGAUUAGAUACCCUGUAGUCACGCAUAACGAUGAUACUAGCUGUCGGCGCAAGUUCAGUACCUAGCGAAGUGAUAGUAUCCAGCUGGGGGAGUACGUUCGCAGAUGACUCAAAGGAAUCGCUGGUCGACAGCGUGAAGCAUGUGAUUAUUCAAUGAC